This 24-nucleotide non-coding RNA is filed under the name Cricetulus griseus (Chinese hamster). Lineage: Eukaryota; Metazoa; Chordata; Mammalia; Rodentia; Cricetidae. The record is from RNAcentral.
GAGGCAAAGAAUGAACUGAAACGG